RNAcentral lists this unclassified non-coding RNA (1541 nucleotides) under Bombus terrestris (buff-tailed bumblebee). Its description in RNAcentral is "misc RNA ENSBTSG00005037255.1". Lineage: Eukaryota; Metazoa; Arthropoda; Insecta; Hymenoptera; Apidae. The record is from RNAcentral.
GUACGCGUAAAAACACGCGCGUUAAACCACGUUAUUUUUACUUUCAAAUCAGUCUGAGGGAACGUACGAAUUUGUCGCGGCUCGCGCGGACCGCGGUGCUUCGCCACGUUUCUAUUUUCCAUUUGUUUUUUGAUUUCAAUUUUAACGAGAUCGAUAUGCUUCUUUCUUUUUUUUUCUUCUUUAUUUCAACCGUUACCGAAAAAACCUCGAAAUCUGUGUGAGAACAGGUUCUUCAGAUCGCUCAUUUAAGAGCCAUCGUCGAUGCCACGCGAACGUAUUCGCGUGCAAUUUGUUAUUUCGUACUCGCCAUCGAACCCGUUAAGAAAAUAACGACCGUUUGGAUCUCGAAUAUAAUUCGAGUACAAUUCGCGAAUAUUUCGGUCGAAGUGCGCGACAUUCGAAGAGAGAUGUUGAUGUAUUUAAUCGACGAACGAACCAGAGUCGAAAUGGUCGCUGUCGAUGUUAGACUAGCGUUUUGUCGGCACGGCGAAAAAUUUACAGAGCGGGAGAGGAGCGUGCGGUCCGCCCGCACGCGGAAAUAAUGCCUUACUUAGAAGUCUUAGGAUUUAAUAACGGACUUAAAGUAAUCAACGGUGUUUAGACGUACGUAUAAACUUUACAAUGCAACAGAGCCCAACCUUCGACGAGCCCGUCUUGAAGACGGACGAACGCGUCUCAUUGUUAUCUUCUAAAACGUACCACGAAUAGUUUUACGUUAGCUCGCGUAAAACCGCGCUGAAUCGGCACUCUCUUUCGAGUUUCUUCUCGGUUAAUAACUCUCAUUCCGAUUCUAAUACCACGCGCACGUAUUUAACUGGACACAGGCGAGCACGGAUCGAGAACGUGGAAAACGACGUCCGGCGAUUCGUUCGUUGAAAUUAGAUCGAAUACGAGCUCGUGAACAAUCGCAAUCGAACGGAGAGUAAGAAAAUCAGUCUUACGAAUUGAAAAAAUCGCUUCUUUCGGUAACGAACGUUACACGAGCUUUGAACCGUUUGUUGAGAUUCGUUGUUGCUCGAGGAGCAUAUUAUUCAAUAAAAUUUGUAAUAUUUGAUCAGAAAAAAUAGUUGAUGCGAUUAGCUAACACAGUGAAAGAUAACAAAAUGACUAAUUUCUAAUAUUAAUCAUCGUUUGCGAAAUUUAAUAUUUGGUUCAUAUUUAGGAAAAGUGUUAGUUGAAGUUAAUCGGUACGAUAGUACAGGAUAAUGAGUCAAUUUUUUGAUAUAGCCGUGUUAAGGAAUUUUUAAACGUCGUAAACAGACGAAAAAGAAUAUUUUAGAAGCAGAGAAAUACAUAUACCGUCUACUGUGACUCAUAAAAUAAAACAUUUCGCAUAUAUACAAAACAUAACAUAGAAUUCAGGAGUUGCAGUUUGUAUAAUGAUCGAAUCGAUUGCGCCGGAGAAGUCGAUAGAAAAACGAACGCAGAACGUAGUUGCAAAAAAUAACGACGGACCUGUCUAGAAUCGUAGAACGGACAGCAUAGGCCAGCGUGACCAAAAUAAAUGCUCCCGGUGUGCAUCGAGAGGAGACAAGUUGUUU